RNAcentral lists this transfer RNA (75 nucleotides) under Asparagus officinalis (garden asparagus). RNAcentral's name for it is "tRNA A4U43_Asp204". It matches the Rfam family "tRNA". From Rfam's summary of the family: Transfer RNA (tRNA) molecules are approximately 80 nucleotides in length. Lineage: Eukaryota; Viridiplantae; Streptophyta; Magnoliopsida; Asparagales; Asparagaceae. The record is from Rfam by way of RNAcentral.
GGGGAAAUAGCUCAGUUGGUUAGAGUGCUGGUCUGUCACGCCAGAAGUCGCGGGUUCGCAACCCCGUUUUCCCGC